This 65-nucleotide transfer RNA is filed under the name Colias eurytheme (orange sulphur). RNAcentral describes it as "tRNA-Phe". RNAcentral also lists the same sequence under 43 other names. Lineage: Eukaryota; Metazoa; Arthropoda; Insecta; Lepidoptera; Pieridae. The record is from RNAcentral.
AUUUAAAUAGCUUAAAAAGAGUUUAAUAUUGAAGAUAUUAAGGUGAUUAUAUAAAUCUUUAAAUA